UACAGAGGGUGCAAGCGUUAAUCGGAAUUACUGGGCGUAAAGGGCGCGUAGGCGGCCUUCUAAGUCGAACGUGAAAUCCCUGGGCUCAACCCAGGAACUGCGUCCGAUACUGGAAGGCUUGAGUCCGGAAGAGGAGAGUGGAAUUCCCGGUGUAGCGGUGAAAUGCGCAGAUAUCGGGAAGAACACCUAUGGCGAAGGCAGCUCUCUGGGACGGUACUGACGCUGAGACGCGAAAGCGUGGGGAGCGAACAGG
Molecule: ribosomal RNA, 253 nt
Filed under: uncultured bacterium
Lineage: Bacteria
Description: partial 16S ribosomal RNA
Rfam family: Bacterial small subunit ribosomal RNA
Source: RNAcentral